RNAcentral lists this long non-coding RNA (574 nucleotides) under Malus domestica (apple). RNAcentral describes it as "long non-coding RNA (MDOM_LNC000355)". The record is from RNAcentral. Lineage: Eukaryota; Viridiplantae; Streptophyta; Magnoliopsida; Rosales; Rosaceae.
ACUUCCCCUAUUUAGUGCAAGUUUCGCCUUGCACUAAGCUAUAACAUCUCCCCCUUUCCCUUUCUUAUUAGGUUUAGGAUUACCUUCCUCCCUCUUCUUCCUUUGUUUGCAACAAACAGAUUCUUUCCUUAACCAACAUUCACCAUCAAUGGACUUUCUACUACUAUGCUCCCGAAUCCCAAACCCCACUGCAAGUGCAUAAUUGUUGUGAAACCUAUACCUUUCAUCUAACUAAUCAAACUCCAUUCUCAAUUUCGGUUUCAACUCUUCCUUUACUCUUGGUACCACAAAUUCAACCCUCCAUGCACCUAAUUCAUCCCCUGCAUCUACAUCCUCCCAGUCGAUGACAAUUUCUUCUACUUCUACCUCACCCCCAAUCAAAUUAUACUUCAAUGUCUACCUGUAACAAAGUUAUACAAGCACAACACAACUUAUCACAAGCCAGCACAACGUUUACACCUAUAUAUCUAAAAUCCACUUUCACAAUUUCAACCAAGUACACUGAUAACCACCGACCAUUAUGGUUUCAAAUCCCAGGUUUAAAAAAAACCACACUUGAAUGGAAAUGCAAUAU